GCAUCGGGCCACUGCUUGCCAUAACGCGGGACCUUAAAGGGGUCCAAGCUAUUCGUCAUCCGUAGGCUCUCACCAACGUCUAGUACAAGACAUCGGUCUCCANACGGUCGGACUCUGUGUAGUUCCCGUAACAAGCGCGGCUACUGGGCAGAGUACCAGACUGUAGAAGUCAGUGAAACCUUGCUGGUGGACGACACCUGUAUGAGAGUGUCGACCCAGGUAUCCACCGGGACCUUCCCCGUGGUCCAAGUAUUGGCACACCUUGAACCGUGGAGGAGCAUUUGAUCCGGGGCGCCCUUCAACGUCACUGAAUAGUGCGUGGGUGUCACGUGAGACGGCACACCACCAGGUUUCUUGACCUGGACGUAGAGGACGGGGCUAUCCUUGGCUUUCCAAGGAGUGAGAAAUUCAGACGGGCCGGGGAGAGUGUUGCCACCUACACCCCUAUUUCGACGGCGACGAUUGUUGCGAUUAGCCAUGACGUAGAAUUGAUCAGAUUCACGGUUAUUUUCUCGCGGUUCAUACAC
This 527-nucleotide unclassified non-coding RNA is filed under the name Hevea brasiliensis (rubber tree). The record is from RNAcentral. Lineage: Eukaryota; Viridiplantae; Streptophyta; Magnoliopsida; Malpighiales; Euphorbiaceae.